CAUCAUUACUUUCAAAAUUAUGCCUGGAAGUAUUCUUAAUUCACAAACACAACAAUUUGUGUUGAACUUGUGCGAAUAUUUUGAAAGGAAGAGGGCGUUUGGAGGACCUUUGUUACCAUUUUCAUCUGUUCAAGAGAGAGUUGCAGAUGCACUUAAAAUAUCU
Leptinotarsa decemlineata (Colorado potato beetle) is the source of this 163-nucleotide long non-coding RNA. The record is from RefSeq and is a predicted model, not a curated record. Lineage: Eukaryota; Metazoa; Arthropoda; Insecta; Coleoptera; Chrysomelidae.